ACAAUAAAAUGCUUCGCUGGGCGCAGCUUGAUACGACUGCAGAGGUCGAACCCUGAACAGUUGGGGCAAGUAUGGACACAACAUUCAAGCUUGAUACAGCUCUGAAUUUGGAUUGUGAUUAAAUAUUUGACACAGCAUAGGUUUCUGACACAGAAAGAAUGUGGUCUAAGAACUUCAAUUUUUUUAAUUUACCUAUUAUGGUCCAAUGUCCAAAAUCAAAAUACAUGGUUAGAUUCAGCAUAUCAAAGAACCCCAUAUAUUCAAUUUUUGUUGAAAUCAAACAAAAUUUAAUUUUGGACCCUUUGGACCUUAAUGUAGACCAAUUUAAAAACGGGACCCAAAAUUAAAAAUCUAAAUACACGGUUAGAUUUGGCAUAUCAAAGAACCCCAAUAAUUCAAUUUUUGAUGAAAUCAAACUAAGUUUAAUUUUGGACCCUUUUGACCUCAAUAUGAACCAAUUUGAUAGCGGGUCCACAAAUAAAAAAUCUAAAUACAUGAUUAGAUUCUGCAUAUCAAAGAACCCCAAGAAUUCAAUUUUUGAUGAAAUCAAACAAAGUUUAAUUUUGGACCCUUUUGACCUCAAUGUGGACAAAGUUGAUAACGGGGCCCAAAAAUCAAAAAUCUAAAUACAUGGUUAGAUUCAGCAUAUCAAAGAACCCCAUAUAUUCAAUUUUUGUUGAAAUCAAACAAAGUUUAAUUUUGGACCCCAAUUUGGAACAACUUGAAAACUGGGCCCAUAAUAAAAAAUCUAAAUACAUGUUUAGAUUCAGCAUAUCAAAGUACCCUAAAAAUUCAAUUUUUGUUAAAAUCAAACUAAGUUUAAUUUUGGACCCUUUUGACCUUAAUGUAGACCAAUUUGAAAACGGAACCAAAAAUUAAGAAUCUAAAUACACGGUUAGAUUCGGCAUAUCAAAGAACCCCAAUAAUUCAAUUUUUGAUGAAAUCAAACAAAGUUAAAUUUUGGACCCUUUGGACCUCAAUGUGGACCAAUUUAAAAACGGGGCCCAAAAUCCAAAAUCUUAAUACACGGUUAGAUUCAGCAUAUUAAAGAACCCCAAGAAUUCAAGAAUAAAACCCCAUUGAAAUUGAUCAAGAAAUAAGCAAUUUAUACGAAGUAUCUUCUUUUGCACAAUACUGUGCAAUUGAAUAUUUCUUGCUAUUGUGCAAUUAUGUACAAUUGACAAUUUCUUGCUAUUGCGCAAUAUUGUGCUAUUGGAUAUUUCUUGCUAUUGCGCAAUACUGUGCAAUUGAAGAUUUCUUGCUAUUGCGCAAUACUGUGCAAUUGAAGAUUUCUUGCAAUUGUGCAAUACUGUGCAAUUGAAAAUUUCUUGCUAUUGCACAAUACUUAUUAUAUAAUAAUUUACACAUCCUGUUUGGUGUGUAUCUCCUACCAUAUCAUUAUUAUUUGCUUUUAAAUAUUAAUCAGAAAUA
Long non-coding RNA from Mytilus californianus (California mussel), 1431 nucleotides. RefSeq lists it as uncharacterized. The record is from RefSeq and is a predicted model, not a curated record. The transcript is spliced from 2 exons. Lineage: Eukaryota; Metazoa; Mollusca; Bivalvia; Mytilida; Mytilidae.